AUUGAUAACAUUGAACGUCCGUACCGUACACUCUACAACUUGGCAACUCUAUGUUUUCUUAUUUAUUCGGGAUUUGGAGUGAUGAAUGCAGUGUUUUUAAUGUACUGCAUGAUAUCAUACUUGGAGUCAUCUUGCAUCGUAUUCAAAAACACUCUAAGGGAAGCUAAAUGUAUCAAUAUUAAAACUAUACGAUAUCGCAAAUUAAUUAUGGCACAUCAUCAGCAUUUGUAUAUGACGAGGAUAUGGAUGCUUCUGACGCAUUUCGUUAAAUGGCCUGGAUUUGUACUGAUUGUGUUCAGCGGAUUAACAAUUGCACUAAUUAUUAUAACAGAGUUCAUACGUUUCGAUGUGCUCAGCCUGUGUCAUGUUAUGAUGUACACUAUUAUUGUAUAUAGCUUGGGAUGGAUGGGUGAAAGAAUAAUAGCUCUUGGUGAAAAAAUACGGCGAGACACCUUUUAUGCAUGUCCAUGGGAUGGUGACGUGAAAAGUGUACGGAUUUUAAUGUUAAUGAAUAUGAAUUUCAACCACAACUUGUCAGUGCCACUUGGGAAUUAUACAUCGUUUUCAUGCACGAUUGUACUAUCUGUUUUCAAAUUUGCUUAUUCUAUCGUAAUGUUGUAUAUUAACAAGGCUUAGCAGAUUGAGUAAUAUUUGGUAUAUUGGUAUUAUUUUGCAGUCAAAGCUGCACCAGCGCAAUCUAGUGAUGAAUUUCCUAAGCUUACACGAAGAGAGUUACCGGCUUCUGCAA
Molecule: long non-coding RNA, 748 nt
Organism: Dalotia coriaria
Lineage: Eukaryota; Metazoa; Arthropoda; Insecta; Coleoptera; Staphylinidae
Exons: 5
Source: RefSeq, a predicted model, not a curated record